Molecule: non-coding RNA, 554 nt
Organism: Nicotiana tabacum (common tobacco)
Lineage: Eukaryota; Viridiplantae; Streptophyta; Magnoliopsida; Solanales; Solanaceae
Source: RefSeq, a predicted model, not a curated record
AUUACUUCCAAGUUGGGGAAAUGCAUUGAAAAAAAAAAGAAGAAAAAAGAGAGAGAGGAAAAAGUAAGGACAGAGAAGAACUUUGUAAUUAAAAGACUUUUAUGUUCUCUCUGUCUCUUUUACGUUUAGGCUUAGCCAUUGUUGUUCAUCUCUCUGAAUGCCUCAGCAUUAUUCAGGAUUAUUUUUUGUAGUCAAUUAUGGCGACUAUUAAGCAAGGAGAGAGGGAAUCAACAGGAUGGUAUCUCAAAUUCUUUUUUCUAAUUCCCUUAUUAGCAUUCAUGGUGCUACACCGAUCAGACGAACCGAUUUCCACAAUCAAGCACAACAAACAAUAGCUGCUCGUAUCCUUGUUAGAAUUCAUGGUUCUACACCGGUCACACAAACCAGAUUUCGCAAUCAAGCGCAACAAACAAUGGCUGAAUGUAUUGCUAGUGGAUCAAGAUAUUGUUGAUUUAAACUAAAGGAAACUAGCUAGAAUUUGAUUGGCUGCUUAAUUUUAUGAAGCCUUUGAGAAAUUUUAUAUGAUUGAGUGAAAUGAUUAUUAUUGUCUUUAA